RNAcentral lists this ribosomal RNA (213 nucleotides) under uncultured bacterium. Its description in RNAcentral is "partial 16S ribosomal RNA". It matches the Rfam family "Bacterial small subunit ribosomal RNA", at positions 1288 to 1500 of the family's 1533-position model. The record is from RNAcentral.
UCAGUUCGGAUUGAAGGCUGAAAUUCGCCUUCAUGAAGCCGGAAUUGCUAGUAAUGGCAGGUCAGCAUACUGCCGUGAAUACGUUCCCGGGCCUUGUACACACCGCCCGUCACACCAUGAGAGUUGGGGAUACCCGAAGCCUGUGAGCUAACAGUAAUGAAGCAGCAGUCGAAGGUAGAAUCAAUGAUUGGGGUGAAGUCGUAACAAGGUACC